Molecule: ribosomal RNA, 253 nt
Filed under: uncultured bacterium
Lineage: Bacteria
Description: partial 16S ribosomal RNA
Rfam family: Bacterial small subunit ribosomal RNA
Source: RNAcentral
UACGGAGGGUGCAAGCGUUGUCCGGAAUUAUUGGGCGUAAAGAGCGCGUAGGCGGUCCGAUAAGUCGGCUGUGAAAGUCAGGGGCUCAACCCUUGGAAGCCGGCCGAUACUGUCGGACUAGAGUCCGGAAGAGGCGAGUGGAAUUCCCGGUGUAGCGGUGAAAUGCGCAGAUAUCGGGAGGAACACCAAUGGCGAAGGCAGCUCGCUGGGACGGUACUGACGCUGAGGCGCGAAAGCGUGGGGAGCAAACAGG